AUUUUCAAUAGAAUUGUUUUAACGUAAUUUUUAAUUGUUUAGAGGGCUUAAAUUUUCUCCAAAAAAUUAGUCAUUUUACCUUAAUGUGUAAGUUUAUUAAGUUAAAUUAAAAAUUUGCAGAUGUCAGCUUUACGACUUCGAUAGUUAAAGUGGUCAUUCAUUUUUAAAUUUUGCUAAUUGAACACAUGUGGUCAAUUGUUGUUUUGUUUUGGUUGCAAUAUCAUUUGUGGCUAAGGUUUUCAUGUAAAAUAUACUGAACUGGAAAAGCUGUGAAAGUUACCAACCUUGAUGUUUUUACAAAUUAUACAAUCAAAGAAAAUGAGUUUGAUCAAAACAAAAAUAUCCUUCCAUCUUGACAAACCGACACAUUUGGGGAUAAGAUAAAAGCGUACUCAGCUGAAGAAAACAAUGUCGCUGUCUUCAUUCAAAAGCACAAUUCAUAUCUGAAUCUCAUAAGUUGAUCACUCAGACAUGGCGUGGCAUAAGUGUGUAUACCUAUAAGGAAUGUGUUUAAUGAUCACAUUAAUUGGAAUCAUGUGCCCGUGAUGGAGACCGUGAUGAAAUGAUUUAUGGCAAUAAGCGUAAAAAUAGUAUUGCUAAGAGUAUUUGGAAAUGUGGAUAACGCGAGUUAAAUCAAUAUCUCAAAACAAUCGGCAUCACGCUCAAUCAAAUUAGUUUACAGUGCAGUGCAAUCAUUGAAGGUUAAAAUCGUCCUCUGACCAUACGAAGCAUAGCAUCAGCUAAUACAUCAAGAUGAGCCUUUGUCUGUGGAUAAACCGGAAAAGAAAAGAAAAAAAGAUUCAGUUAAAUCCAGAUGAGUG
Tetranychus urticae (two-spotted spider mite) is the source of this 821-nucleotide non-coding RNA. Lineage: Eukaryota; Metazoa; Arthropoda; Arachnida; Trombidiformes; Tetranychidae. The record is from RefSeq and is a predicted model, not a curated record.